UGACCUCAAAUCAGGUAGGAUU
RNAcentral lists this ribosomal RNA (22 nucleotides) under Gloeophyllum sepiarium. RNAcentral describes it as "partial 28S ribosomal RNA". The record is from RNAcentral. Lineage: Eukaryota; Fungi; Basidiomycota; Agaricomycetes; Gloeophyllales; Gloeophyllaceae.